RNAcentral lists this ribosomal RNA (207 nucleotides) under uncultured bacterium. RNAcentral describes it as "partial 16S ribosomal RNA". It matches the Rfam family "Bacterial small subunit ribosomal RNA", at positions 1286 to 1500 of the family's 1533-position model. The record is from RNAcentral.
UCUCAGUUCGGAUUGGAGUCUGCAACUCGACUCCAUGAAGCUGGAUUCGCUAGUAAUCGCGCAUCAGCCAUGGCGCGGUGAAUACGUUCCCGGGCCUUGUACACACCGCCCGUCAAGCCAUGGAAGCCGGGAGUGCCUGAAGUGUGCAACCGCAAGGAGCGCCCUAAGGUAAAACUGGUGACUGGGGCUAAGUCGUAACAAGGUAGC